Molecule: ribosomal RNA, 256 nt
Filed under: uncultured bacterium
Lineage: Bacteria
Description: partial 16S ribosomal RNA
Rfam family: Bacterial small subunit ribosomal RNA
Source: RNAcentral
UACGGAGGAUCCGAGCGUUAUCCGGAUUUAUUGGGUUUUAAAGGGUGCGUAGGCGGCCUAUUAAGUCAGGGGUGAAAGACGGUAGCUUAACUAUCGCAGUGCCUUUGAUACUGAUGGGCUUGAAUGUAGUUGAGGUAGGCGGAAUGUGACAAGUAGCGGUGAAAUGCAUAGAUAUGUCACAGAACACCAAUUGCGAAGGCAGCUUACUAAAAGUAUGAUUGACGCUGAGGCACGAAAGCGUGGGGGAUCAAACAGG